GGAAGGAGAAGUCGUAACAAGGUUUCCGUAGGUGAACCUGCGGAAGGAUCAUUGUCAUAAUCUAUCAUCGUAGACCGAGAACACGUGAAGUGCAUGCGUGGUGUGUUCCUUUGUUGGUCUAUCCACGCGAGCCUCCCCUCUCUCUAUUUACUAGAGCGUUGGGUGUGCCUAACAACCCCUCGGCACGUACUGUGCCAAGGUAAUCAAUGGAAGUCGUGGUGGUGGUACCGUGUGUGCUCCAUAGCGACUUGUUUGUACUAAUGAAUCCUUUGAGGAUAUCAGAUGACUCUCGGCAACGGAUAUCUUGGUCCUCGCAUCGAUGAAGAACGUAGCGAAAUGCGAUACUUGGUGUGAAUUGCAGAAUCCCGUGAACCAUCGAGUUUUUGAACGCAAGUUGCGCCCUAAGCUUCCGGGCCGAGGGCAAGCCUGCGUGGGCGUCAAGUUACGUUGCUCGCUCACCCUCCUCGAGGUCCAUUUUCUUGAGGCCUCUUGGUUAAGGUGUUCGAAGUGGAGAUUGACCCUCCAUUCUCUUUCGACGAAUGGUGGGUUGAAGUUUAUAGUGCCGCCGGAAUUCGUGCAAGGGCAUGACGGUUGAAGUCUCGUAGUCCUGGGCAUCUUCGUCCGCUACGGCUUACUUGUCGUUCUCGUCGAUCCGGUGUCGUUCCCAGUUCAUGGCACUUUGCCUUGACCAACAUCGCGACCCCACGUCAGGCUAGAUCACCCGCUGAGUUUAA
This 734-nucleotide ribosomal RNA is filed under the name Potamogeton pusillus. RNAcentral's name for it is "eukaryotic LSU rRNA". The stretch from base 285 to 440 matches the Rfam family "5.8S ribosomal RNA". Lineage: Eukaryota; Viridiplantae; Streptophyta; Magnoliopsida; Alismatales; Potamogetonaceae. The record is from RNAcentral.